AACAAGUUCAGCGAGAUAAUGUUUGAUAUAAAUUUAAAAGAACCCAUUUCUGCGAAUAAACACUGUCAAAUCUAAAACGAUGUCUUAUUCAUUUGUACUCUUAUUUUGCCUUUUCUGUACCUUUUACACAAGUUACAUCGCUGACGGAAAGCUGUAUCUGAUAAGACACAAAACAACACGAUUAGUUUUGGGACUAGACAACAACGGUCUAGUACAACUCCAAUAUUUUGCUGGUAAGAAAACACAGUCAUGGAUGCUGGGGUGUGCCAUUCCCCCAACAGUUACUAUUACUAACAAAGGCAAUGGCAAAUUACUAGAUAUAAGCUAUGAUCCUUCUCCCGGAAGAAACAUCAGUACGUACCAUAUAAAACAUGGAGGUAUAAAUCAAAGAUGGUACGUUAAUUUUGACGAUACCAUAGUCAGUGCACAGAAAAAUUUGGUUCUCAGCAGCGCGGACGGUACAUAUAAAGCAGGAAAAACUAUAAUUGCAUGGACCAACAAUGGAACAGCCCAUGAUCAGUUUGUGUUGGAGACGUAUGGUCCUCGUAUAUCUAAUAAAGCUUAAAUUACAUUUAAAAUAAAGUUUAAUAAUAUGUGUUUCUU
Molecule: long non-coding RNA, 603 nt
Organism: Zophobas morio
Lineage: Eukaryota; Metazoa; Arthropoda; Insecta; Coleoptera; Tenebrionidae
Exons: 2
Source: RefSeq, a predicted model, not a curated record